Long non-coding RNA from Chenopodium quinoa (quinoa), 340 nucleotides. RefSeq lists it as uncharacterized. The transcript is spliced from 2 exons. NCBI's taxonomy places the organism in Eukaryota, Viridiplantae, Streptophyta, Magnoliopsida, Caryophyllales, Amaranthaceae. The record is from RefSeq and is a predicted model, not a curated record.
GGAUACCGGUGCUUCUCACCACGUUACCCAUGAUCUCUCUACUCUCUCCUUGCAUCAUCCAUAUGAUGGCUCUGAAGAAGUAAUUAUAGGAUCGCCUCACGGGGGCACCACUCCUGAAAGGGCCGGCUAAGCAGGGACUCUAUGAGCUACCUCCAUCUUUGGCCAUUCUUGCACUCUCUUCCAUCAAAGCUCCCGCAAUAAAUUGGCAUCACAGAUUGGGCCAUCCCUCUAUUUCAAUUUUCAAACACAUUGUGUCUGAUUUCAAUCUUUCAGUAUCAAGCUCGUUUAAUUUUAAUUGUAACGCUUGCCAGUGUAAUAAAAGUCACAAACUCCCGUUUGC